This 69-nucleotide antisense RNA is filed under the name Micromonospora humi. Its description in RNAcentral is "ASpks TB sRNA". It matches the Rfam family "ASpks TB sRNA". Lineage: Bacteria; Bacillati; Actinomycetota; Actinomycetes; Micromonosporales; Micromonosporaceae. The record is from RNAcentral.
CUUGAUCGAGCCCAACCACAGCGGCUGCUCACGAUCCCGGCCGUAGGUGGCGAGCAACGCCUGCGCCUC